GACGAACGCUGGCGGCGUGCUUAACACAUGCAAGUCGAACGGAAAGGCCCUGCUUUUGUGGGGUGCUCGAGUGGCGAACGGGUGAGUAACACGUGAGUAACCUGCCCUUGACUUUGGGAUAACUUCAGGAGACUGGGGCUAAUACCGGAUCGGAGAUCUUGCUGCAUGGUGGGGGUUGGAUAGUCUCGGCGGUUGUGGAUGGACUCGCGGCUGAUCAGUUUGUUGGUGGGGUAGUCGCUUACCAAGUCUUUGACGGGUAGCCGGCCUGUGAGGGUGACCGGCCACAUUGGGACUGAGAUACGGCCCAGACUCCUACGGGGGGCAGCGGUGGGGAAUAUUGCACAAUGGGCGGAAGCCGGAUGCAGCAACGCCGCGUGCGGGAUGACGGCCUUCGGGUUGUAAACCGCUUUCGCCUGUGACGAAGCGUGAGUGACGGUAAUGAGUAAAGAAGCACCGGCUAACUACGUG
RNAcentral lists this ribosomal RNA (468 nucleotides) under uncultured bacterium. RNAcentral describes it as "partial 16S ribosomal RNA". It matches the Rfam family "Bacterial small subunit ribosomal RNA", at positions 28 to 507 of the family's 1533-position model. The record is from RNAcentral.